This 261-nucleotide ribosomal RNA is filed under the name uncultured bacterium. Its description in RNAcentral is "partial 16S ribosomal RNA". It matches the Rfam family "Bacterial small subunit ribosomal RNA", at positions 92 to 354 of the family's 1533-position model. The record is from RNAcentral.
CGACCGGCGCACGGGUGAGUAACACGUAUCCAACCUGCCGAUGACUCGGGGAUAGCCUUUCGAAAGAAAGAUUAAUACCCGAUGGCAUAGUUCUUCCGCAUGGUAGAACUAUUAAAGAAUUUCGGUCAUCGAUGGGGAUGCGUUCCAUUAGCUUGUUGGCGGGGUAACGGCCCACCAAGGCAUCGAUGGAUAGGGGUUCUGAGAGGAAGGUCCCCCACAUUGGAACUGAGACACGGUCCAAACUCAUACGGAAGGCAGCAG